AAUGAACGCUGGCGGCAGGUCUAACACAUGCAAGUCGAACGAGGUAGCAAUACCUAGUGGCGGACGGGUGAGUAACGCGUGGGAACGUGCCCCUUGGUACGGAAUAGCCCUGGGAAACUGGGAGUAAUACCGUAUGUGGUCGAGAGACGAAAGAUUUAUCGCCAAGGGAUCGGCCCGCGUUGGAUUAGGUAGUUGGUGGGGUAAUGGCCUACCAAGCCGACGAUCCAUAGCUGGUUUGAGAGGAUGAUCAGCCACACUGGGACUGAGACACGGCCCAGACUCCUACGGGAGGCAGCAGUGGGGAAUCUUAGACAAUGGGGGAAACCCUGAUCUAGCCAUGCCGCGUGAUCGAUGAAGGCCUUAGGGUUGUAAAGAUCUUUCAGUGGGGAAGAUAAUGACGGUACCCACAGAAGAAGCCCCGGCUAACUCCGUGCCAGCAGCCGCAGUAA
RNAcentral lists this ribosomal RNA (449 nucleotides) under uncultured bacterium. Its description in RNAcentral is "partial 16S ribosomal RNA". It matches the Rfam family "Bacterial small subunit ribosomal RNA", at positions 29 to 523 of the family's 1533-position model. The record is from RNAcentral.